RNAcentral lists this transfer RNA (113 nucleotides) under Daldinia sp. EC12. It matches the Rfam family "tRNA". Rfam says of the family: Transfer RNA (tRNA) molecules are approximately 80 nucleotides in length. Their secondary structure includes four short double-helical elements and three loops (D, anti-codon, and T loops). The record is from Rfam by way of RNAcentral. Lineage: Eukaryota; Fungi; Ascomycota; Sordariomycetes; Xylariales; Hypoxylaceae.
GGUAAGAUGGCCGAGCGGUCUAUGGCGGUAGAUUCAAGAGUUAUUGACUCUUCUCUCAUUCAUUGAGAAUCCUACUCCCGAAAGGGGCCGGGGUUCGAAUCCCCGUCUUAUCA